UGUCACGUCAUCUCAAUACCAUUAACCUCUCAGAAUUAGCUGCAUUGAGCACAGCUGUGGACACAACGAAAAAUGUUGGCAUGGUAGCACUGUCACUCUGCCAUAGACUGUAGCUAUGCACUCAGCGCGUGAGGCACAAAACAAGCCGAAGACAUCCACAGAUUUAAGGCUCAGCUUGUAUAGAUGGUGUGCAUCCUCACAAUCCCUGGCGUAACGUUACAUCAUCACUAACUGAAGAAAUCAGUGUCCACUGCAGCUAGAUGUGCACAAGCCUCUAAUGUGACCGAAACAGAUUCAAAGUUCAAGAUCCACCUCCACACUCAUAUGCAUUGCAUGUUUGAUACCAAC
Molecule: long non-coding RNA, 348 nt
Organism: Micropterus dolomieu (smallmouth bass)
Lineage: Eukaryota; Metazoa; Chordata; Actinopteri; Centrarchiformes; Centrarchidae
Exons: 4
Source: RefSeq, a predicted model, not a curated record